This 492-nucleotide ribosomal RNA is filed under the name uncultured bacterium. Its description in RNAcentral is "partial 16S ribosomal RNA". It matches the Rfam family "Bacterial small subunit ribosomal RNA", at positions 28 to 507 of the family's 1533-position model. The record is from RNAcentral.
GAUGAACGCUAGCUACAGGCUUAACACAUGCAAGUCGAGGGGAAACGACAUCGAAAGCUUGCUUUUGAUGGGCGUCGACCGGCGCACGGGUGAGUAACGCGUAUCCAACCUGCCCAUCACUUGGGGAUAACCUUGCGAAAGUAAGACUAAUACCCAAUGAUAUCUCUAGAAGACAUCUGAAAGAGAUUAAAGAUUUAUCGGUGAUGGAUGGGGAUGCGUCUGAUUAGCUUGUUGGCGGGGUAACGGCCCACCAAGGCAACGAUCAGUAGGGGUUCUGAGAGGAAGGUCCCCCACAUUGGAACUGAGCCACGGUCCAAACUCCUACGGGAGGCAGCAGUGAGGAAUAUUGGUCAAUGGGCGAGAGCCUGAACCAGCCAAGUAGCGUGCAGGAAGACGGCCCUAUGGGUGGUAAACUGCUUUUAGAAGGGAAUAAAGUGAGAGUCGUGACUCUUUUUGUAUGUACCUGAUGAAUAAGGACCGGCUAAUUCCGUG